This 492-nucleotide ribosomal RNA is filed under the name uncultured bacterium. RNAcentral describes it as "partial 16S ribosomal RNA". It matches the Rfam family "Bacterial small subunit ribosomal RNA", at positions 29 to 507 of the family's 1533-position model. The record is from RNAcentral.
AGUGAACGCUGGCGGUAGGCCUAACACAUGCAAGUCGAACGGCAGCACAGUAAGAGCUUGCUCUUACGGGUGGCGAGUGGCGGACGGGUGAGGAAUACAUCGGAAUCUACUUUUUCGUGGGGGAUAACGUAGGGAAACUUACGCUAAUACAGCAUACGACCUACGGGUGAAAGCAGGGGAUCUUCGGACCUUGCGCGAUUGAAUGAGCCGAUGUCGGAUUAGCUAGUUGGCGGGGUAAAGGCCCACCAAGGCGACGAUCCGUAGCUGGUCUGAGAGGAUGAUCAGCCACACUGGAACUGAGCCACGGUCCAGACUCCUACGGGAGGCAGCAGUGGGGAAUAUUGGACAAUGGGCGCAAGCCUGAUCCAGCCAUCCCGCGUGGGUGAAGAAGGCCUUCGGGUUGUAAAGCCCUUUUGUUGGGAAAGAAAAGCAGCAGGUUAAUACCCCGCUGUUCUGACGGUACCCAAAGAAUAAGCACCGGCUAACUUCGUG